AUGGUGGGGAUCUGUGACUCGGGGUCCCUUAUGACACUUCUUUCCCUGUCUGGAGAUGCUGGCAUCCCGGAGGGCAUGCAGCUGUCUCUCCUUGGAGAACAGGAAACAGCGAGGAGCUCACCAUGCGUCUGUUCAACUCCAGUGUUAUGUGUGAAAGAAAUGAUAUACAAAGAAGCUUCAACAUAUGUUUGGAAAAAUGGAAUUAAAAGCCAGCUGAACACAAGAAGGUGCUCCUGCCGCUUUCCCAGCCGACUCCGCUUCAAAGCUGCCUCUACCACGCAGGGUUCUUUAUUCACCUUUCCUUUGAGCAACCUGUCUGGUGAGUUUCUGCCCCUUGUUCACAGAACAGAGUCAUGACCUGCAGCUACUUUCCAUAAAGAUUUAGUUAGGUGAGUUGCUUUAUAAAUAAAA
This 411-nucleotide long non-coding RNA is filed under the name Oryctolagus cuniculus (rabbit). Its description in RNAcentral is "lncRNA (ENSOCUG00000035167.1)". The record is from RNAcentral. Lineage: Eukaryota; Metazoa; Chordata; Mammalia; Lagomorpha; Leporidae.